This 618-nucleotide long non-coding RNA is filed under the name Homo sapiens (human). RNAcentral's name for it is "non-protein coding lnc-NPAS4-10:1". Lineage: Eukaryota; Metazoa; Chordata; Mammalia; Primates; Hominidae. The record is from RNAcentral.
GUGAUCCACCCGCCUUGGCCUCCUAAAGUUCUGGGAUUACAGGCGUAAGCCACCACGUCCGGCCAACACAAAGACUUUCAUGUUAUUUCUGGAAUAAGAAAAACAGCUACGGAAAAAAUAUAUCAACAGCAUACUGUAUACAGCAUUUUUUUUUAAAUGGAGAUUAAUGAAUCGUGAAAAUAAUAUGUAAGGCUGGACACAAUGGCUCAUGCCUGUAAUCCCAUCACUUUGGGAGGCCGAGGAGGGAGGAUCAUUUGAGCCCAGGAGUUUGAAACUAGCCUGGACAACAUAGUGAGAUCCUGUCUCUGCAAAAACUUUAAAAAUUACCUGGGCAUGGUGGCAUGCACCUGUAGUGCUAGCUACUCAGGAGGAUGAGAAAGGAGGAUUGCUUGAGCCCAGGAGUCUGGGGUUGCACAGAGCUAUGAUCCUGCCACUGCAUUCUGCCCAGGUGACAGAGUAAGACCCUGUCUCUAAAUUUAAAAAAAGAAAAAAAUAAAGACAAGAAAAUAACACGUAAAUGGUGAGCUAAACCAGAUUUCUUGAAUCAACAGUGCUUGUCAGUGAUUUUCGCUUCCCCAUUCUAUGUGCUUUUGUUCUUUUUUGUACAAAGAGAUUGUU